RNAcentral lists this small RNA (78 nucleotides) under Flavobacterium caeni. Its description in RNAcentral is "Flavo-1 RNA". It matches the Rfam family "Flavo-1 RNA". Lineage: Bacteria; Pseudomonadati; Bacteroidota; Flavobacteriia; Flavobacteriales; Flavobacteriaceae. The record is from Rfam by way of RNAcentral.
CCCUAGCCCCGAUAGAAGCGGUUAUCCUUUUGUUUGUUUUUUACAAGCAAAAGAUAAAAGCGGAUAGCGGGAAAUAGC